This 442-nucleotide ribosomal RNA is filed under the name uncultured bacterium. RNAcentral's name for it is "partial 16S ribosomal RNA". It matches the Rfam family "Bacterial small subunit ribosomal RNA", at positions 338 to 795 of the family's 1533-position model. The record is from RNAcentral.
CCUACGGGGAGCUGCAGUGGGGAAUAUUGGGCAAUGGGCGCACGCCUGACCCAGCAAUGCCGCGUGAAGGAAGAAGGCUUUCGGGUUGUAAACUUCUUUGACAGGGGAAGAGCAGAAGACGGUACCCUGCAAACAAGCCACGGCUAACUAAGUGCCAGCAGACGCGGUAAUACGGAGGUGGCAAGCGUUGUCCGGAUUUACUGGGAGUAAAGGGCGUGUAGCCGGGAAGGCAAGUCAGAUGUGAAAUCCGGAGGCUCAACCUCCGAAUUGCAUUUGAUACUGGUUUUCUUGAGUAUUGGAGAGGCAGGCGGAAUUCCUGGUGUAGCGGUGAAAUGCGUAGAUAUAAGGAGGAACACCAGUGGCGAAGGCGGUCUGCUGGACAGCAACUGACGGUGAGGCGCGAAAGCGUGGGGAGCAAACAGGAUUAGAUACCCUUGUAGUC